This 133-nucleotide small RNA is filed under the name Planktothrix serta PCC 8927. RNAcentral describes it as "HEARO". It matches the Rfam family "HNH endonuclease-associated RNA and ORF (HEARO) RNA", at positions 1 to 132 of the family's 211-position model. The record is from RNAcentral. Lineage: Bacteria; Bacillati; Cyanobacteriota; Cyanophyceae; Oscillatoriales; Microcoleaceae.
GUCAACAACCCACCACUGGCUUGAGUACAAGUACAGUGGGGGCUUGAAAUACAGCCCUAGUUGACCCGCCUAAGUCUUAACUGACUCCGUUAUUUGGGUCACGNAGAUCUCGGAUGUAAUCACGGGUUUUCGG